Molecule: ribosomal RNA, 497 nt
Filed under: uncultured bacterium
Lineage: Bacteria
Description: partial 16S ribosomal RNA
Rfam family: Bacterial small subunit ribosomal RNA
Source: RNAcentral
GAUGAACGCUGGCGGCGUGCCUAACACAUGCAAGUCGAGCGGACGGACGGAGCUUUUGCUUGGAUGAAGUGGGGGGCGGGCGGGUGAGUCACAGGAGUAUACCCUCCCUGUCGGGCUGAGAUCACGAAGGGAGAGCGGAUAUCACACCGGAUCAGAUGUUGAAACGGGGGGUUCAUAGGAGAUAGACGGACGUGCUGUGCCUAGUCGAGGGUUCCGCGCUGGAUUAGCUAGUUGGUAAGGUAACGGCCUACCAAGGCUACGAUGCGUGGCCGAGCUGAGAGGGUGAUCGGCCACACUGGAACUGAGACACGGUCCAGACUCCUACGGGAGGCAGCAGUAGGGAAUCUUCGGCAAUGGGCGAAAACCUGACCCAGCAACGCCGCGUGUGUGAAGAAGGUCUUCGGAUCGUAAAGCACUGUUAGUUGGGAAGAACAGAUGUGAAAUGAUACGUUGCCAUCUUGACGUUACCUAAUCAAAAAGCACCGGCUAACUACGUG